This 513-nucleotide ribosomal RNA is filed under the name uncultured bacterium. RNAcentral describes it as "partial 16S ribosomal RNA". It matches the Rfam family "Bacterial small subunit ribosomal RNA", at positions 28 to 507 of the family's 1533-position model. The record is from RNAcentral.
GACGAACGCUGGCGGCGUGCUUAACACAUGCAAGUCGAACGAAAAGAGGGAAAGAGCUUGCUCUUUCCGGAAUUGAGUGGCAAACGGGUGAGUAACACGUAAACAACCUGCCUUCAGGAUGGGGACAACAGACGGAAACGACUGCUAAUACCGAAUAAGUUCCAAGGGCCGCAUGGCCCAUGGAAGAAAAGGUGGCCUCUACCUGUAAGCUAUCGCCUGAAGAGGGGUUUGCGUCUGAUUAGCUGGUUGGAGGGGUAACGGCCCACCAAGGCGACGAUCAGGAGCCGGUCUGAGAGGAUGAACGGCCACACUGGGACUGAGACACGGUCCAGACUCCUACGGGAGGCAGCAGUGGGGAAUCUUCCGCAAUGGGCGAAAGCCUGACGGAGCAACGCCGCGUGAGUGAUGACGGCCUUCGGGUUGUAAAACUCUGUGAUCCGGGACGAAAAGGCAGAGUGCGAAGAACAAACUGCAUUGACGGUACCGGAAAAGCAAGCCACGGCUAACUACGUG